Quercus robur (English oak) is the source of this 153-nucleotide small nuclear RNA. RefSeq annotates it as U1 spliceosomal RNA. NCBI's taxonomy places the organism in Eukaryota, Viridiplantae, Streptophyta, Magnoliopsida, Fagales, Fagaceae. The transcript has a single exon. The record is from RefSeq and is a predicted model, not a curated record.
ACACUUACCUGGACGGCGUUUAUGGGAAACCAAGAAUGCCCAUGACCUAGGUCGGUGACCUCCAUUGCACUUAUAGGAGGGGCUCACUCCUAAGGUCUCGCCAAGUGGGAGAGCCUACGUCAUUAUUUGUUGCACUGGGGGCCUUCGCCCCCU